Molecule: ribosomal RNA, 456 nt
Filed under: uncultured bacterium
Lineage: Bacteria
Description: bacterial SSU rRNA
Rfam family: Bacterial small subunit ribosomal RNA
Source: RNAcentral
AUUGAACGCUGGCGGAAUGCUUUACACAUGCAAGUCGAGCGGCAGCGCGGGGCAACCUGGCGGCGAGCGGCGAACGGGUGAGUAAUACAUCGGAACGUGCCCAGACGUGGGGGAUAACUACUCGAAAGAGUGGCUAAUACCGCAUACGAUCUACGGAUGAAAGCGGGGGAUCGCAAGACCUCGCGCGUCUGGAGCGGCUGAUGGCAGAUUAGGUAGUUGGUGGGAUAAAAGCCUACCAAGCCAACGAUCUGUAGCUGGUCUGAGAGGAUGAUCAGCCACACUGGGACUGAGACACGGCCCAGACUCCUACGGGAGGCAGCAGUCGGGAAUUUUGGGCAAUGGGCGAAAGCCUGACCCAGCAACGCCGCGUGAAGGAUGAAGUAUUUCGGUAUGUAAACUUCGAAGAAUAGGAAGAAUUAAUGACGGUACUAUUUAUAAGGUCCGGCUAACUACGUG